Molecule: ribosomal RNA, 734 nt
Filed under: Enterococcus sp.
Lineage: Bacteria; Bacillati; Bacillota; Bacilli; Lactobacillales; Enterococcaceae
Description: bacterial SSU rRNA
Rfam family: Bacterial small subunit ribosomal RNA
Source: RNAcentral
UGCAAGUCGUACGCUUCUUUUUCCACCGGAGCUUGCUCCACCGGAAAAAGAAGAGUGGCGAACGGGUGAGUAACACGUGGGUAACCUGCCCAUCAGAAGGGGAUAACACUUGGAAACAGGUGCUAAUACCGUAUAACAAUCGAAACCGCAUGGUUUUGAUUUGAAAGGCGCUUUCGGGUGUCGCUGAUGGAUGGACCCGCGGUGCAUUAGCUAGUUGGUGAGGUAACGGCUCACCAAGGCCACGAUGCAUAGCCGACCUGAGAGGGUGAUCGGCCACAUUGGGACUGAGACACGGCCCAAACUCCUACGGGAGGCAGCAGUAGGGAAUCUUCGGCAAUGGACGAAAGUCUGACCGAGCAACGCCGCGUGAGUGAAGAAGGUUUUCGGAUCGUAAAACUCUGUUGUUAGAGAAGAACAAGGAUGAGAGUAACUGUUCAUCCCUUGACGGUAUCUAACCAGAAAGCCACGGCUAACUACGUGCCAGCAGCCGCGGUAAUACGUAGGUGGCAAGCGUUGUCCGGAUUUAUUGGGCGUAAAGCGAGCGCAGGCGGUUUCUUAAGUCUGAUGUGAAAGCCCCCGGCUCAACCGGGGAGGGUCAUUGGAAACUGGGAGACUUGAGUGCAGAAGAGGAGAGUGGAAUUCCAUGUGUAGCGGUGAAAUGCGUAGAUAUAUGGAGGAACACCAGUGGCGAAGGCGGCUCUCUGGUCUGUAACUGACGCUGAGGCUCGAAAGCG